GGGCCGCCCGGGACGCACGAGCGUCGGUAGCGCGGCGGGCCUGGUCAAGGCGGGGCCGCCAUAGCGCCAGCCCCUGUAUCCGCCCCCGCGCCUUUCAGCCGUAAGAAACUAGUUGGCUCGUUUUCCAUUCAUACUUAGAUUCUGUCAUUUAAAGAAGUCCCUACCUCUUACCACCGGGCUCUCUCCUGAGAACUGCCCGAGGCUCUGAGUGCUUGGGAACCAGACCCGCUAGGUGGCCGCACCUCCACGCAGCAAGUCGAACGCCACUGCCCGGGAGCAUAGCGGAGAUGAGGAGCAGGAGCAACUCCGGGGUCCGCUUGGAUGGAUACGCACGGCUGGUGCAGCAAACCAUCCUGUGUUACCAGAAUCCCGUCACAGGGCUGCUGUCAGCCAGUCAUGAGCAGAAGGAUGCCUGGGUGCGGGAUAACAUCUACAGCAUCCUGGCCGUGUGGGGCCUGGGCAUGGCCUACCGCAAGAAUGCCGACCGUGAUGAGGACAAAGCCAAGGCCUACGAGCUGGAGCAGAACGUGGUGAAACUGAUGCGGGGUCUUCUCCAGUGCAUGAUGAGACAGGUGGAUAAAGUGGAGAAGUUCAAGCACACUCAGAGUACCAAGGACAGCCUGCAUGCCAAGUACAACACCGCCACCUAUAGCACUGUGGUGGGCGACGACCAGUGGGGCCACCUCCAGGUGGAUGCCACCUCCCUCUUCCUCCUAUUCCUGGCCCAGAUGACUGCCUCAGGUUUACGUAUUAUUUUCACCCUUGAUGAGGUGGCCUUCAUACAGAAUCUUGUUUUUUACAUAGAAGCUGCAUAUAAAGUCGCUGAUUAUGGAAUGUGGGAACGUGGAGAUAAGACUAAUCAGGGCAUUCCAGAACUGAAUGCAAGCUCUGUAGGAAUGGCCAAGGCAGCCCUGGAGGCAAUUGACGAACUGGACCUUUUUGGAGCCCAUGGAGGACGCAAGUCCGUGAUCCACGUCUUACCCGAUGAGGUCGAACACUGCCAGUCUAUUCUCUUCUCCAUGCUGCCAAGAGCAUCGACGUCUAAGGAGAUUGAUGCUGGGCUUCUUUCCAUUAUUUCUUUCCCGGCCUUUGCAGUGGAAGAUGUGAACCUUGUGAAUGUGACCAAAAAUGAAAUUAUUUCCAAGCUCCAGGGGCGUUAUGGAUGCUGUCGCUUCCUUCGAGAUGGUUAUAAAACCCCAAGAGAGGACCCAAACCGAUUGCAUUAUGAUCCUGCUGAACUAAAGCUCUUUGAAAACAUUGAAUGUGAAUGGCCUGUGUUCUGGACGUAUUUCAUAAUUGAUGGGGUCUUCAACGGUGAUGCCGUUCAGGUCCAAGAAUACCGAGAGGCCCUGGAGGGGAUAUUAAUCAGAGGCCAGAAUGGGAUCCACCUGGUGCCCGAACUCUAUGCCAUCCCGCCUAACAAGGUAGAUGAAGAGUAUAAGAAUCCUCACACGGUGGACAGAGUUCCUCUGGGGAAGCUGCCCCAUCUGUGGGGUCAGUCCUUGUACAUCCUCAGCUCCCUGUUGGCAGAGGGAUUCCUUGCCACUGGUGAAAUUGAUCCCUUAAAUAGAAGAUUUUCCACUUCCGUCAAGCCUGAUGUCGUAGUACAAGUGACUAUUCUGGCAGAAAACCACCACAUUAAGGAGCUGCUAAGGAAACAUGGGGUGAAUGUCCAGAGUAUUGCUGACAUUCAUCCAAUCCGAGUCCAGCCAGGCCGGAUUCUCAGUCACAUAUAUGCCAAGCUUGGACGAAAUAAGAAUAUGAAAUUGAGUGGGCGACCAUAUCGGCACAUUGGUGUCCUUGGAACAUCUAAACUAUAUGUGAUUCGGAACCAAAUCUUUACUUUCACACCCCAGUUCACCGACCAGCAUCACUUCUACCUGGCGCUGGACAACGAGAUGAUCGUGGAGAUGCUGAGGAUCGAGCUGGCCUACCUGUGCACCUGCUGGCGGAUGACGGGCAGACCCACGCUCACCUUCCCCAUCACCCAUACCAUGCUCACAAAUGAUGGCUCAGAUAUUCAUUCUGCUGUUCUUUCAACAAUUCGAAAACUAGAGGAUGGAUAUUUUGGAGGAGCUAGAGUAAAAUUAGGGAGUCUUUCGGAAUUUCUCACCACCUCUUUCUAUACGUAUCUGACCUUCCUGGAUCCAGACUGUGAUGAGAAGUUGUUUGAUGGUGCCAGUGAAGGGAGCUUCAGUCCUGAUAGUGAUUCAGAUUUGGGAGGAUACUUGGAAGAUACCUAUAAUCAAGAAAGCCAGGAUGAACUUGACCAGUAUAUCAGCCACCUCCUGCAAAGCACAUCCUCGAAGUGCUAUCUGCCACCUCUUUGUAAGAAGACAGAGGACAGCCAUGUUUUCAGCGCCAUCCACUCCACUUGGGAUAUACUUUCUGUCAUGGCAAAAGCAAAGGGUUUGGAAAUUCCAUUUGUUCCCAUGGCUCUGCCAACUAAAAUUCUAAGUGCCCACCGUAAGUCACUGAAUCUUGUUGAUUCCCCUCAGCCACUCCUUAAAAAGGCUCCCGAAGAUGACUUCCACUUUCCCAGAGAUGACCGUGGUGAUGUGGACUGUGAGAAGCUUGUUGAGCAGCUGAAGGAUUGCUCGAACCUACAGGACCAAGCAGACAUUCUGUACAUUCUGUAUGUAAUGAAGGGUCCUAACUGGGACACACAUCUCUCUGGACAGCACGGGGUCACAGUUCACAACCUCCUUAGUGAGCUGUAUGGGAAAGCCGGCUUGAACCAGGAGUGGGGUCUGAUCCGCUACAUCUCUGGCCUACUCCGGAAGAAAGUGGAGGUCCUGGCUGAGGCCUGCACAGACCUGCUGUCACACCAGAAGCAGCUCACGGUGGGCCUGCCACCAGAACCCCGGGAGAAGACCAUCUCUGCGCCUCUUCCCCCUGAGGAGCUCACGAAACUCAUCUAUGAAGCCAGCGGGCAAGACAUCAGCAUCGCCGUCCUCACCCAGGAGAUUGUGGUGUACCUGGCCAUGUACGUCAGGGCGCAGCCCAGCCUCUUCGUAGAGAUGCUCAGGCUCCGGAUUGGACUGAUCAUUCAGGUGAUGGCCACGGAGCUGGCACGGAGCCUGAACUGUUCAGGAGAAGAAGCUUCUGAAAGUUUGAUGAACCUCAGCCCUUUUGAUAUGAAAAAUCUCCUGCACCAUAUUUUAAGUGGAAAAGAGUUUGGUGUUGAAAGAAGCAUGCGACCCAUCCAUUCCUCCACAUCCAGCCCAGCCAUCUCCAUCCAUGAGGUGGGACAUACUGGAGUCACCAAAACCGAGAGGAGUGGCAUCAGCAGGCUGAGGAGUGAGAUGAAACAGAUGACUAGGCGAUUUAGUGUUGACGACCAGCUCUUUUCCGUGAGCCAGGCCGCGUCCGGCAGUGCGCACUCCUCCAAGUCUGCGAGGUCCAGCACCCCAUCCUCGCCCACCGGCACAUCAUCGUCAGACUCAGGCGGGCACCACAUUGGCUGGGGGGAGCGGCAGGGCCAGUGGCUGCGCAGGAGAAGGUUGGAUGGUGCCAUCAACAGGGUCCCUGUGGGAUUCUACCAGAAGGUGUGGAAGAUCCUUCAGAAGUGCCACGGUCUGUCCAUCGACGGUUAUGUGCUCCCAUCCUCGACGACACGAGAGAUGACCCCCCAGGAGAUCAAGUUUGCUGUCCACGUUGAAUCAGUGCUGAACCGAGUGCCGCAGCCCGAGUACCGGCAGCUGCUGGUGGAGGCCAUCAUGGUGCUGACACUGCUCUCAGACACGGAGAUGAACAGCAUCGGGGGCAUCAUCCACGUGGACCAGAUCGUGCAGGUGGCCAACCAGCUGUUCCUGCAGGACCAGAUGUCGAUCGGAGCCAUGGACACACUGGAGAAAGACCAAGCCACGGGAAUUUGCCACUUCUUUUACGACAGUGCUCCCAGUGGGGCUUACGGGACCAUGACCUACCUAACGAAGGCAGUGGCUUCUCAUUUGCAGGAACUGCUGCCCAAUUCAGGCUGCCAGAUGCAAUAGGGCCCCAGCACGCUGCCUCUGUCAUUUGCUCCCCAACCUCCUGAGAACUUUCUUCUGUUCCGCAAGAUCCCCUGUGCUGUGACAAAAGCAUGUCCCAUCAGAAACACUGGCAGGGAGGAGAUGGCAGUGACAGACCUGAAAGCAGUAUUCAUCCAAGCCACAGAAAGAGCCGCUGAGUCCUGUGCUCCCCUGAGGAGCGCCCUGGGAUCGUUGUCUGCAUUCAUUUCGCUGGAAUAUUUGUUACAGCAUCUGGUUUCCUGGAGUCUGAGGAGGAAUUGGAAAUUGGUCUCUUUUGAGUGCAGAGGGAACUGAGAAGGCAGCUUCAAUCAGCUCCCGCAGUUACCAAAACACGUCUGAUGAGCUAGUGACACAUCUUAGAGAUGGAAAGAUCCUUCCAGUAGUGGCGGACCUUGACAAAGGGAACAUCUUAACAGGAUGCAGUCUAUCUGUGGACCAAAUAGAACAACCCCUUCUGUACACUCUGGUGGAUCAUUUCAAACACACAUAAUACAAGAAAGGUACAAGCCGUGAAAGGCCCAGGUGCUUCUGGGCGAAGGCUCGGGAAGAGUUACAGCCCUCCAGAAUGAGCCAGGUGCUAAUUUAGAACAAUCACCUGCCUGUGGCUGACGUGCAAAGCCGCAGAUGCCGUGUUUGGGCUCACCAACCGAGACGCGGUCAGGAGAAGAGCCAUAAUAAGCAAUUCAGCCGAGCCUUCGAUCCACUCUUUUGAAACCUCUUUCAAAUGAAAUCCUGAAAUAGUAUCGCAUUUCCACAGGCAUCAAGCUGUCAGCUUUAAAGAAGAGCAGGCUUCUGAGGCUUGAUCCCUUUCCUGAGCAGCUGAGGCCCACGCGGAGGGGAGGAACAGAUGUACGAGGGGGAGGGGAGAGGCCUGUCCUGCCCACCAGCAUCCUGGUUGGCCGGGUUUCCCCACUAGGAGCCCCUGGUGCCUCGCAUCAGGGCGGCAGUAGGGGCGGGGUGCUCUUUCCUCUCUCCCUCCCCAGAGCAGAGAGGCCAGUUGUGACCUUCGCUGGCACUGGGGAUGGGGUGUCCUGUCUCAGAGCCAGGAACAGACAUUUCUUGUCACGUCCUCAGUUGAAAAGCAGCUGCCGCCCACCCACCGCUCGCCCUGGCUCUGACCCAGGGGGCCCCAGCAGCAAGGACAAAGGUUCCAUCAGAUAGUCAGAAGGACUAGCCUCCCCUCCUGGCACCAACACCAGCAGCUCCAUGACCCGGGCUGUUAUUUAGCCUCUGUGGGCCUCAGUUUGCCCAUCUGUCAAAUGUGCAAGAGUCCCACAAACUCACGCUGAACUAAGUGCAAGCAAGGCACAGGAACUCCCCCAGCUUCCCUGCCUUUGGAGGUGGGGCCCGGGGCUUCCAGGUCACAGGACACCAGAUCUGCCUGAUGGCAACACAGGCCAGGCUGGGGGAGGCUCUGCGGUCAUGCCGGUGUCUCCCCAGUGGACGUCUGGCUGGAGGUCAGUUAGAGCUUCUGUAGCUCUUUUGAGGCACAGUGAACAAACAGAGCGUUCGCUACACAAUAACUACCU
Vicugna pacos (alpaca) is the source of this 5542-nucleotide non-coding RNA. The record is from RefSeq and is a predicted model, not a curated record. NCBI's taxonomy places the organism in Eukaryota, Metazoa, Chordata, Mammalia, Artiodactyla, Camelidae.